This 2421-nucleotide unclassified non-coding RNA is filed under the name Neodiprion lecontei (redheaded pine sawfly). RNAcentral describes it as "glucose-6-phosphate exchanger SLC37A2, transcript variant X3". The record is from RNAcentral. Lineage: Eukaryota; Metazoa; Arthropoda; Insecta; Hymenoptera; Diprionidae.
ACAACGGCUGCUUAUCAAGUUUUCCUCUUCCAGAUGUGCGCGUUCCUAAUGACGUUUGAUAACUCCGACACGGCUCACAAAGCGGCGUGCGCUAGUCUGUUAAUAAAGGAGCAUGAAGUAAACAGACUUUGAACCCCUUGCAGAGGACGAUAGGAAUUGAUCUGGAGUUUUUGGUACUGUGCGACUCGACUUCAAAUAAGCAAAAAACAAAAUAAUUAAAAAUGAGGCAUCUAGGUUGUAUUGGGUGGUUAUGACGCAUCACCAGUUACGUACGAUCGUCUGUUAACUUUUGUCAGAACAUUCCAAUCCUUGAUUUGAUUAGGUAUUACGAUUUAAUAUUUUGACUCUUCACUUUUUUACGAAUACGUCGUUCGCUGUUCUUACUGAGUGGACGGAGUACACUGGAUAUGAUCGUUACACGAGAAACACCAUGUGGGCUAAAAGGGAUAGAAUGGCUUCUAUCAAAAUUUACAACUCAAAAUCGAUGCAAUCGACUUGCUUGGUACAAGGGCGGCAUACUGGCACUAACUUACAUGAGUUAUACUUGUUAUCACAUGUCAAGGAAGCCAAUGUCUGUUGUGAAAAACGUGCUCAGUAGAAAUUGUAGUGGUUUAGUACCGCCGCCUGAUAUAAAUCCAAAUGAUACUAAUAAUCAGAACUGGUGUGAAUGGCCUCCAUUUGAUAGGGACAAUGCUUCUGCACUAUUGGGUACCUUGGAUUCAGCAUUCCUAUUUGCUUAUGCUGGGGCAAUGUUUCUUAGCGGGUUUGUUGCGGAGCGUGUCAAUCUUCGCUAUUACUUGGCUCUUGGAAUGAUAUUCUCGGGUAUUUGCUGUUAUCUAUUUGGUAUUGCAAGGCCCUAUGAAAUUCAUACUCUUUGGUACUUCAUUUUAGUCCAGAUACUUGGUGGUAUAUUCCAAACAUCUGGCUGGCCAGGUGUAGUUACAGUAGUCAGUAACUGGUUCGGCAAAGGCAAACGUGGUCUGAUCUUUGGAAUUUGGAACUCCCACACGUCCUUAGGAAAUAUUUUGGGCAGUUUAAUUGCUGCUGAAUUUGUUGAAACAGACUGGGGCCUCAGCUUUAUGGUACCUGGAGCUAUUAUGGGCGUAGGCGGCUUCUUAUUGUUUCUCUUCCUAGCACCAAAUCCUGUGGAUGUUGGAUGCUUACCGCCUGAACCUCCAGGUUACAGAAAGGUAGAUGUAACAAAUAGCUCUGACGAAAGCAGUGCCAUUGAAGAUCCAGAGGCAAAUCAUUCGGCAAAUAACCAAGCAAUCAACCACAACGUGUCACGUCUUCAAUAUGUUGAUGGCGAGGUGAUUCUUCGUACCGAGACAAGUCCUAUGUUAGUGGUAAAUCGAAGAACUAGCAAUUCUGGGGAAGAUAAGCCUAUUGGAUUCAUUGGAGCUAUUCGGAUACCUGGAGUACUUGAAUUUUCUCUAUGCCUUUUCUUUGCAAAGCUAGUAAGCUAUACAUUCCUAUACUGGCUGCCUCUGUAUAUAGCUUCAUCAGCCAACUUUAGUGCAAAAAUAAGUGCAGAUUUGUCCACUUUGUUUGAUAUUGGAGGAAUAAUUGGAGCAGUGACAGCUGGUUCACUUUCCGAUUACACUGGAAUGAGUGCUGUUACCUGUGCGGGUAUGUUGUCGCUCGCUGUCCCUAUGCUGUUUCUUUAUGAUUCCUUUGGAAGUAUUAAUAUCGGAAUUACCAUUGCGCUGCUCAUUCUGGCAGGAAUAUUAGUUAAUGGUCCUUACGCGCUAAUUACCACAGCUGUAUCAGCUGAACUCGGCACGCAUCCAAGUUUAGGGAGUAACUCAAAAGCCCUGGCAACUGUAACUGCAAUUAUUGAUGGAACCGGAAGUAUUGGAGCUGCUGUCGGCCCAUUGUUAGCAGGUCUAGUUUCUAAUUGGGCAGGAUGGCACAAUGUAUUUUACAUGUUAAUGAUCUCCGAUGUAAUAGCACUUUUGCUGCUCUCACGGCUGGUCUAUAGAGAAUUACAUUUAUGGAAGCAACGGCGGCGGGCUGUCUGAAUUCUGAGGUCCUGUGGAUAUAAAUUUCUACCGCGAUACACACACAAAAUGUGUCAAAUGAGCAAGAGAGACAAAAAUAUCCAACAUUAAAGUUAUACAGAUGAUAAGUGAAUUGUCACAAUUAUAUUACAGAUCUAUGGAAAAAGGCAAUGACUUUGUUUUACACAUUGAGCAAUGGAGCACUUUCAAGUGUUACUUGGAGAUGCAUGAAUUUUUCGUGACCUAUUUCUGACGUGUCAAUAUCUACGUUUUUAACAAAUGGAGAAUUUUAUAUAAUAAAAAAUUAACAUGAAAAAAAUGCUUAUGACAGUAUUGUUUUGCCUAAAUUUAUUUUCAAUCUUAUGGAAUUCCAGUAGGAAUAAUCCAACUAAUGCUGUCGCCGAAUUCUCCCCAGGUGGCA